GAAGUAAAAGUCGUAACAAGGUCUCCGUUGGUGAACCAGCGGAGGGAUCAUUACCGAGUUUACAACUCCCAAACCCC
RNAcentral lists this ribosomal RNA (77 nucleotides) under Sordariomycetes sp. KUC21263. RNAcentral describes it as "partial 18S ribosomal RNA". The stretch from base 1 to 53 matches the Rfam family "Eukaryotic small subunit ribosomal RNA", at positions 1779 to 1831 of the family's 1831-position model. The record is from RNAcentral. Lineage: Eukaryota; Fungi; Ascomycota; Sordariomycetes.